RNAcentral lists this long non-coding RNA (25231 nucleotides) under Medicago truncatula (barrel medic). Its description in RNAcentral is "long non-coding RNA (MTRU_LNC003350)". The stretch from base 15861 to 15923 matches the Rfam family "MIR5285 microRNA precursor family". The record is from RNAcentral. Lineage: Eukaryota; Viridiplantae; Streptophyta; Magnoliopsida; Fabales; Fabaceae.
AAAGUAAGAGGACCAUUCGAUGUUGUAAUAAAAUUCAACUCCGAUGAACGAUUAUUGUAAAUAAAAUCAAUGUUCUGUUGAGCAGACAUGUUUUCAAACGAAUCAUCGAAAAUGUUGUAGUAGUGAACAUCAAUUACAGACCUCAUAAGACCAUUGGCAAGAGGAAAGAGUUCCUUGGGUUCUGAGGGUCUUAGCCUAUUUGACAUAACCACAUAGGUAGUGGUGGAGUGUUUACGCACCGCGUAGUAACCAGCCUUGUAGUACUUGUUUAUGGUCUCUAGGGUUACACCUGGAGAGAGAGGUUCGUUUAAGAGUUCAAUAUAGACUAGGGUUUUUUGUAUACCUAGAAAUAUAGGACACCAUACUUGUGUUUCCUGCAUAUAAAUUUUUAUAAGGAUACCAUACUUGUUACAAUGUUAUGUUAACGUGCAAAGUUCAUCAUUAAUCAAGAUAUUUGCAUUCUAGAAUCUAGCUUUUUGGUAACUAUAAUUGGUAGGUUCAAAACAAACCUAAUCAACAAUAUUACUACAGCUCAAUAAUGCCUUCAAACUGCUCAAAAAAUUAAAAAGAAAAAACAUAUUCAUUAGAAGCUACAACUCGAUCACAAUUUACUCACAAAAAAAUGUCGAUCCAGACACUCGAUUGAACAAUUUGAAGGAGGUAUCUUGAGCAAUUACUUAAAAUUAUUAUAAAAGAAUUAUAAUUGGUUAAUGAACUUACACAGCCCACAAACCAACUGGAAUUCUAACUGCCAUGGUGGAGUUACUUGCAAAGAACCUCCAACAUAAGGCCAUGGUGGAGUUGGGUCACUAGCUAUCCACCAACCAACUGGAAUUCUAACUGCAUUUAAUCCAUUCCUAGCUAUGAACUUGAAAUCAUCUUCAACUAUAAAACUGCUCCAAUGAUCCUAAUUAAAAAAAAUACCAUCAAUUAAGCACAAUACAACUUGCUAGUUGCCACAUAUCUCAAAUUUGAUAAACUUGAACAUAAACAUAAAAAGAAAAGUAAAAUAAAAAAAGUUUAUGCUGCUAAUGAGUGUCAUUUGAACCUGUAAAAAACUGAUCGAUCGUUUGUAAAAGAAUUAAUACUAAAAAUCAAACUAUUCAAGUAUAUAAUCCAUCUACCAAUUAUCAUCAUGUGUAACAAUUAUUACAAACAAUAUAUAAUUGACUUUUUUAUGUAAAAAAAUUGUGGUGAUAGUACCUGAUCGGGGAGAGACACGAGAAGAUUACCACUUGGUAGAGCGACUCGAGAGACACUCAAAAAAUUGUCACUCAAAGCGGCCUGCCCCGCACGAACUCCCCACUAGACUCAAUUGUCUCUAUGAUAGAACAUAUGUAAUUCACUCUCCACCCGUAGUAGGAACAAAAAAAAAAAAACUAAAUUGCUUAUCUAAAAAGAAUUUCCACUGUAUUCCAUCGACUUGUAAGAAGACCUUAGAGUUUAGAGAACAAGAAGAGAUUUACAUUUACCAGUCUCCAAGAGAAUACAUGAUUCCAGGUUUGGAUUGCGUUCAAAGGCAACAUAUGAGAGAAUCAAGAAAUUUUAAAUUUUAAAUAUUAAUUUUUGGUUUUGAGGCAUCUUUUUAAUAAUGUUUUGAAAAAAUAAUGUCAAAAAGAAAACGACAACUAAUAUAUCAUUGGUAUUUUUCUUCAAAAAACAAAAUCAUUGGUAUUACCAUUUUAUUAACGAAAACUAGUUAAUUUUUCACAUAUAGAAGGUAGCUAUAUAUCUAACAAAAAUUGCUUGAAAUAUAUCACCCAAAAAUACUCAACAAAGAAAAUAUACACAUAAAAAUGUGAAAUAUACUUUAAAUAAGAGACAUGUUUCCAUUUGUUUUUUUGCAAGAUAACAUGCUUAAAUGAGGGGUUAAGGUGAUCUUCAUUUCUUAAAAGAAAUGUAUAAAUCUAGUACUAUAAUUAUUAGUUAUAUAAAUAAUAUAAAGACGUCCAACUUGAAAGAAAUGUAGGUAGAGGUCAUUUUUUUGUGCACAAUUGAAAUUGCAAAUUACUUGAGAUUCAUACAUAUAACUACGGGGUUUUGGGUUUAAAUUUGGAUGAAGACGUCCAUAUUAACUAACAAUAAAUAUUGACAUUUUCAAUUGAGCUAGGUUUUACGGAAAAAAUAAUCCUCACUUGUAUAUCAUAUCAUAUCACAUUAUAAUGAAACUUAUAACCUAGACAAGAAUAAUUCUUCUAAAAAAAAUCCUAGACAAAAAUAUAUUUCUAUAUGUGGGGAUUUAUGUCUUGUGCCUUUUACCUUCAUAACUUGUGCAGCUUUUGUAGGCCCAUAACCAUUUGUUAUUUGGAAAUCACCUUGCAAUCUUGCAGCAAUGGUCAUUUCAAAAACGGUUAGAUAUCUUUCCAUCUUCUAACCAUUGAAAUAUCAGCUGUCACCAGAUUUUCUGUUUUUGCCUGCAAGUCACGAUUUUCAUUUUAAUUUUGUUCGCCACAUAUAUGAAAGUUAAUCCGAAUACUAAUUGUUGCCCUAAUUUUAACCUAAAUUCAGUGCUUGCUUUUACCGUAUUACCCCUGUUUAAAAUAUCAAAUUGCAUAAAGCUCCUAUUUUUUUAAAAAAAUUGUUUCCUACUAAACAGAUAAACAUAAAAAUAAAAAAAACAUAUCACCCCUAUUAAUUAGACAUCGUUCAAAUCACUCCUAUUCGACAUCAUCAUUCAAAUCAUCAUCAUAAUUAUAAGUCAUCAUUCUCAUCGUCAAUAUAAAUUAGACAUUAUCAUCAUCAAUAUAAAAUAGACAUGCACUUUAUCCAUCAAUAUAACUAGUAACAUCACCCUCAUCAUCAUUAUAAAAUGAACGUCAUCAAUAUGUCUGAAUGAGGUCAAACCAAAGCUAAGAGAAAUUUAAUACCCAUAUCUACAAGUUUCAUGAAGGAACCUAAAUCCAAUUCGAUACAAAGUGGGGUGAAAAGGUUGGUUUUCCUAAACCUAGACAGAAUGUACAACCGUGCUGACCUCUGUGUAGUAUUUUGAUCAUAACUCAAGUUUUUGAUGUUCUAUUGGAGUCGAUCCAAAGCCACAUGAAAACUGACAUCCAUAUCUACAACCUUUAUGUUUACAUCGAAACCUAGUUCAAAACAUAAAAUAGUCGAAAAUUGGUUUUCUUAAGCCUCGGAACAGAGCACGACCCUGCUGACCUAUGUGUAGUAUUUUGAUCAUAUCUUGAGUUCUAGAUUUUGGAAUAAGGUCAGACCAACUCCAAAUUAAAUCUAACACUCAUAUCUACAAAUUUCAUGAGGACACAUAAUCCUAAUUCUGAACAGAAAAAUCCCAGUCUUUAUUUUUGUUUUAGGUUACAUAAAUCAUAGAUUUUAUGCGAUUUCACCUUAGGGGACCUUUCCUAACUUCGUUUUCAACCCUAAUCUUCACUCUGUGAUUAACCUAUCAUUCAAACACUAAUCAUAGGUUAACCUACUGGAUUAUUCACUCUUUUUAAGACUAAAAACUCAAUUAGAAAAAACUAAACUAGUUUUUCUCAAUUCUCAUCUUUCAACUUCACAUUUUCAAUUCGUUCAUCAUCAUUCUCUCAUCAAAGUUCACAUCAUAACAGUAACAACAUUUUAAAAUUUAAGAAAACCCUCCUGUCAUAGAUUAAGAUACCCUAAAGUUCAAAGAUUCUCCCUCUUACAUCUAAUUUGUCCCCUCGUUGACCUAAGAUACUCCUUAAGAGCGUCAUCUACAGUAUAAGCUCGAACCACCACUACUUGUCAUCUAAAGAAUAAAAUCAAUGCUUAUUAAUCUCAAAUCGACAUCUCAUUCAUCAACACUUAUCAUAUUUUCGAUCACACAUAAUCAUAUUCCAAUAGUCAUCAUAUACAUGUUGCAUACUAAAAAUUACAUUCAAAUACAUAACAUCACAUCACAUCUAUAUCAAUCAUUAAAUAAGCCAUCAAUCUAAAUAGUUGCAGCAAAUCAAGCAUAAGCACACACAAAUUUAUCCAUGACUUCAAAUACUACAUAUUAACAUAAUUUAAAUCAAGCAACACCUUAAUAAUGUUUCAAAUUCUUCUUUUAACUUCUCACGUCUAAAUUUGCACAUUAAUUAAUUAUUCCCUCAAAGGGCUGCAACCGUUGCGAUGGGCCCCGAAUGAACUUUGGAAAAUACGGCUUCCCGUUCAUCUCAAUUAAUUUACACUCAUGAUCUCGAACUCUUCUCUCUUACCCCAUACCUUAUCUGACGCUUCCCAAUGAUAAUCAAAGUCAACGAGCAAAAGUCUUUGAUUCCUUUGACUCCUCCCCCGGUUGGUCUGACUAGAAAAUUUAUGAUUAAAUGUCAAAAAUAAAAUAUGAGAAGACACUUUAAUAAGUAAAUCACGAAUUUGGGUGAAAGAAACUUACCCUAAUCAAAGAAUCAAUCGGUGGUUAAUGUAUCUAACAUUCAUGGUGAAUUUGGCGUUGAUUUCACUCAAUUAGACUCAAUUCGGAACAAAAUUGGAGAAAAUUCUCUCACACUGAUCGACACUGAAACCUGGAUUUUCUUCCUCCUGCUACGGUCGUUUACUUCCUCUCCUAUUCACAUGCCCUACUUUUUUUUCUUUGCACUACACGUAAUAUACUACUACUGAUUACUCCCUCCGGUCAUUACUAUAAGCAAAAAUUUGCUCCAUGACCACAUACAUCAUUUAAUGAAUGAACCUAAAAAGUAAAUUUUUGCUUAUAAUAGUGACCGGAGGGAGCAAGUCAUAAACAAAUAGAUUACUAUUAUUUCUCACGUGUUGCUAUUUGAUGUUAUUUGAUUUUUAUUAAGCUAGGUUACAAACAAAUGGGCGACCCAUUACUACCAACUGUCAUUUUAAUUUCGUUUGUGCACUAAUUGUGGAAGAUUUGCAGAAUGAACUACCAGAUUAGAGAAAUGCAUCUUAGCCAACUUCACAAAGACAAAACAAUACUAUUUAUGACGUUAGCGUAAUAAAAAGAGUCGGAAAGUAAUAAACACAUGUUUAUAUAAAUAACAUAUGUAACAAAUAUAUAAGAAUAAAUCACAAAUUUUGAGUUGACUAUGUUUUUUCUGCAAUACUUCUGUAGACAACCAUCUACCUCCUUUGCCAAAUUACUGAGAUGAAAUAUUCCACUGUUUUGAUGAAGCUUUAAGUUUUCGUCCAAGAAGUUUUCUAAUGAUUUGAUGUGAAACUUUAGAAUUGGUGAUGAAGUCUGUAGUUUGUGGUACACUGUCUCAAAACUUUCGCCUAUGGUCAAACGUUCAGCCAUCUGCCAAACGUGAUUGCCUUCUAUAGUAAACUAUAGGAACUCAUCAUCAACACGAGUCUAAAUGUCCCUCCAGCCGGAGAUAAUUUUUAGCAUUCUAAGCAUUGUCUGAAUCAAAUUAGAAUGGUGUUAACUAGAUGAAUAUAUUUAUACAUACAAUUAUACAUUUAAAUAACUUUUUCUAUAAUAAAGAUUGUUGUUGGUGUCAUUAAGAAAAGAAUUUAAAUUAUAUUUUGUUGUUAUAUUGUUGGUGUCAUUGAAAUAUAUAACUGAUUAGUUUGAUUUGUUAACUUGAAAGCAACAAGCAUUUUGUUUUUAUUUAAAUCAAAAUCAAAAUUUCUUAAAAAAAAAAAUAUUUUUUUAUAAUUUUCAAACGUUUGUGCAAUAAAAAGAACGGAAAGAUGGGCAAGUGAGUAUCCGUCUUUUCGCUAGCAUAAUAUAAUAAAAAAAAAGUCCAUGAAAACGUGUAGAAAUCCACAAUGAAAAUAUAUAAUGGGUUUCGAAACUCCCCAUAAAAUAAAAUGGGGGUAGAAACUCACUAAAAAAAAUUGAAACGGCACCGUGAAAAACUAAUUUGCAAACUCACAAUCAGACAAGGGAAAGGAAGUAAGGUUAGACAUGGAAAACUGAGAGCGGCUUUUAUUAAAAUAACAAUUCCAAGUUUCUUUUCCAUACAUCAUCCAAGACUAAUAAUAAAAAAUCUUUUACCUUGCAACAUUUCAUGAACUUUUAUUUCCAUUACAUCUAAAAAAAUCUGAGCAAAGAACACAUCUAUAAGUUACAUGAACUUUUACCUUUCAUUGCGUCGGAUAUUUAUUGAGUUUUUAACAAAAAACUAAACCUACUCAAAAUAUAAAAUAAAUAAAGUUUUAGUAUCCAAGUUGAAAAAUUAUCAGGAGUACAUGUUUAUAAUAAAAACAAUAACCACAUGUAGGAAAAUAUAAUUUUUUUUCUUAUAAAUAUAUAAAAUAAAUUAAAAUAAAUAAUUUAAUCUAGUAGUCAUCUAAAAUUUUCUCGAUCAAUUUAUCAUUUAAAAAAUGAAUGAAUUAUCUUUCAAAUUUGACAAAAUCUAUGCUAAAUGAAAUAUAAUUUAAAAUAAAAUAAAAUCAAUGAGAAAAACUGAGAAACACAUAAAUAGUUUUAAAUAAGUAAAAACUCGUGUGAAUUUCUAUGUGUUUUUCAUAUGAUUUUUAGCUGAAAAUACACUUUUCAUGAAUAGUUUAUAUCAUAUGAAAAGCACCUAAGGGAAUUCACCUAAGAUUUUUGUUAGAGUUAAAAUAAGGAUAAAACUUAAUGCAUUUUCUUAAAUGUUAUCCGCGUGGUAUAUCACAUAAAAUACUUACAACUAUCUGUGGUUUCUCAAAUCCCCAAAUUUUUUUUUUUAAGUUUAUUAUAACCAUAAAAAAUGAAUUUUAAUCAUGUGAAGAACUAUACGAAAAGCAUGUAAGAAAAAUUAACCUAAGUUUUGUCCUUAAAAUAAAUGAUUUAUUUUAUAAUGACAAAUAUUAGCAAAUUAGUUGUUAAAAAAGAACACAAAUAAAUAAAUAAAUAACAAAAACAAUCUUACAUUUCAAAUAUAUAUUUUAAUCUGCGAAUAUACGCAGAGUAUUGGUAUCUGAUACGAAUUUGAUACAGGUAUGUUUAAAAUUUUUUAAAAAGGUACAAAAAUAAUUAAUUAAUUUUUUUUGAAAGAAGGUAUAAAAAUAAUUAAAUAGCCUAAAACAACACAAUAACAUAAGUGAUGAAUUUUUUGGGGAAGUGUUCGAAGAGGUGCUUUUGUACUAUGUUCAUCGAAUGUUACAAUCUUAUUUCAUAUAAAAUUAACCAUUAAUGAAACGUCAAAUUAGGCGGCUAUAUAUGUAUGAAUAAGACAGGACAUAGGUAUAAUCUAAUUGUAGAGUAACAACUAGUAAUCAUCCAAUGAUAUAAAUAACUACGAAUGGUGAGAUAAUUUGUAUAUACACAACCUUAUUUUGAGACUUUAGUUUCACAUUUCUGCGCCAUUAUGCCAUUUUUGUGUUUCACACUACUAGAAAAUUCAGAUUUUGCGACGGAAAUUUGCGAGGUAUUGUAAACCGUCGCAAAUUGUGACGGAUUUUGUGAGGGAUGCUGUGAAUAUAUCAUUAGCGACAGGUUUUGCGAGGGUUUCUGCCGUCCCUACGUAUCCGUCAUAAAUUCCGUCAAAAAUGUGCAGUUUCCAAGUUUUGUGAGGUAUUUAGCGACGGUUUUAUUCCAUCUUUAACUGCUCCGUCACAUAUUCCGUUAGAUUCCUCUAAUAUUUAGCGACGUCCUUGAAUGCCGUCACAAAGAAAUUAUCUCGUUUUUGGUAUUAAAUGAUGCAAAAUAAUUUAAUUGAAAUUUUUGGGUGAGAUGAGACUCAAACCCACAACUUUGUAACAAGGAUCAAGUAUAAUUACCACCACGCCAUGGUUUCUCAUUUGUUAAUUUGUUUAUUUGAUUUUUAUUAGUACUAAGUUAUAUCCGUUUGUUUUUUUCAAAAUCUUUCCUUUUCUUUUCUACUAACAAACGCUUGACCCACUAAUUUGUAUUUUUUUAGUUUUUUUUCUUCUUCAUUUUCACUUAUAUUUUAUUCAAAUUUUAAUUUUAAUUCAAUUUUUAUUGUUUUUAUAAUAUGUCAAAAAAAAAAUCACUUAUUUUAUAUUUAAAUUUUAAUUCAAUUGUUUUUAUUAAUAUGUCUUUAUCACUUGUAAUUUGGGCGAGUUCCGGUUUACCCUUAUAAAAAAAAGUUUAAAUUUCAAUAUGAAGAUUCUCCACAAAAUAUUUAUGUCUCCAUCCAGACGCUGAUGUGGCACGUCACUAUGUAAUUAUUUUAAUUUUGAUUUUUUUAAAACCUGACAUGUGUGUAUUGGUUUUUUUUUUGCGGUGUUCGGGUUUGAAGCCCGAACCUUGCAUACAUUAUGGAUUGUCCUUACCAACUGAGCUAAGCUCACAGGGACACAUGUAUGUAAUGGUUUAAAAUAUUAAUUUAAUUUCUUAUUUAAAAUUAUUUUAAAAAAAGAUGUAAAAAGUAAAUAAUUUGAAAAUUAAUUUUCAAAAAUUAAAAAAAUCUGUUUUUUUUUAAAUGUAAAAAAAUGGAUUUUUUUUUUAUUUCAAAAAUCAGAAAAAAAAUUCAGAUUUUUUUCUCAAAAUAAAAUUGAGUAAACCAUUAAAUUGGUCCCUAUCUUUAUAUUAAGUUCUCAAUUUGGACACUCACUCAAUCUCUUGUGCCUCAACUUCAUCCAAUGUGUCAAGAGCAAUUCUCUUUUUGUUAAAAGCUUUCCAUUUCCUUACAGCCAAAGGCGUGAAAGCCUUCUAUACACUGAUCUGUUCAAUUACUCUUCUCUUCAACUCUUCUUCAUUCCAAAUCAUGCUUCAUUUCCAACUCUUUACUUCUCUACAACAUGGUAACUCUCUUCUCUCCUGAAAACAAAACCUCCCAUUCCACCACCAUCCUCGUCAGAGAGCAAUCGACCCCUUUUGUAUACAACAUCUCUGUACCAAUCGAAAAUCAGAGAGCAAAGAUCUCUUCUUUUCUGUGUUCUCAACACCCAUUACAGGUUUUCAUCUCUUCACCUUUCUCCUAUUUUCCUUUUUUUUCCUAACUUUGUUUUUGGAUAGUUAGUUUGUCUGAUGGGAUUGUUUUUCAGUGAUUCUGCAGGGAGUUCCGACCUCUGAUCCAAAUAAAACAUGACCGAGAAACUGGUAAGGUUUUUCAUGUUCUUGAUGGCAUGCUGCUCAAGGAUGGAUUUUUGUAUAAGAAAGUAUCUCUAGAUUCGUUAAAUUUUUGGGAUGUUGUUCCUACUGAAGAGGAGCUAUUAAAGUUUGGGCCUUCCAAAAAUAGUGAAUCAAAUGAUAUGGAGUGGCUUUCUAAUAUUUAUGGUGACUCAAAGAAAAAACGGGUUAUUAUAGCUGAGAAGGGGGGCGAUGGUAAAGGAGAGGGCUCAUUAGCUUCGGGCGCAGGAAAUGAUUUUGAGUUAUAUGCUCUUGUGCGUUUUCGGUAAGUUUUUUGUUAAAUUUAGCAUUCAUUAUAUCAUACAAAUUCGCUUUCCCCCCCCUUCCCCUCUCUCUCUCUCUCUCUCUCACACACACACACACACACAUGCAGAUGUGCACACAUGCACAUCUUGCAGAUCCAUGAUUUUCAUGUCUGAUAGAGCUUUGCCAUUGCAGCAAAAAAGAAGAAAAUUGUGUAAUAAUAAGCACAGAUAAAGAUGGUACUUACAAGGUACGAUAUUUAGUUUAUGCACUGUUCUAUGUAUAAGCCUUUGAUUUUGAGUGUCUAGUGCAUUUUUAUAGUUAUAUCAUAGUUUUCCUGUCUGUUGUAGAUUCUAAAAGAGAGUUUAAACGGACCAGUUGCAGUAACUGUUCAACAAAACAAAAUAAAAAGUGUGAUGUGCGGUGAAAUUGGUCUGAACUUUGAGAAUUAGCCAUUAUGAUGGUCCUCAUUUUUAUGCUUGCCCGUUAUGUAAAUGAUGCUUUGGCUUUUUAGCACAUUCUUAUAGUCUCCUUCAUUCUUUUCGUACUUUUAGCACAAUUUUGGCAUCAUCUUGAGAAGUCUGGAAGCAGCUCUACCACAUAUUUUGCAAAAGGUUUGUUUUUGGCUUUUUUUUUUUACUUUGGCAAGAAAAUAACAGUGACAAGAAUAAUAGAAUGAGGGAGUGUAAUAUAUUAAUUCUACUGAUUUUCAAGGAUCAAAUGAAUAUGACAUGUUUUUUUUCUAAGCUACAUAUAUGAUUCUAUGUUAAUACAUUUUGGUUGUACUAUUGUUCAGUUGGUUUUGUUAUCUAGCAUGAAGAGAAAUGAUAUUAUUAUAAGAUGAGCCCUUUAUAUUGAUGUGAACAAAGCCAAGCUUAAAUGAAUUGGUGUUUAGACAACAACUACAACACCCGGACACUCAACUUGAAUAGUCACUGUUGAUCUUCAAACAAUUACUACAAGUAAAACUUACUUCAUUUAAGAAAUUUCCUUUGUGUCUUAGUUUGCUUUGCUGAUAUUAAAUUCAUUAUUCAUAUUGAACUCAUUGUUGUUGGCCAUUGAAUUAAGUUGCAGUGCUUGUAUGGUUAGUUUUAGUCUAAUUCAAUUAAUAAUCACUUUUAUAUCACUUUGUUACAUAUUUUCAAAAAAGAAAUGAGAAUCUAAAAUAAAAUAAAAAAAUAACAAUUGCUUAAAAUCAUAAGCAUUUUUUCAGCUGCUUCAGUUAUCCAGCAGGAGUUAUGUCCAACGUGGAAAAUCUGUUAAAGUCACUCCUCGGUUUCAUGAAAACAGGACAACAACUUCCUUCCAAGGAAGCUAUGCGAAUGACAAGCUUAACCGUCCUGAUGUCGCUGCAACUCCAACUGUCAUUAAAUCAUACUUCUCAGUGUGUAGAUAGUUUAGUGAACAAUCACAAAAAGUACAUGAGCCAAACUGUGGUAAGCCCAUUUCAACUUAUGGAAAAAGUUAUCAGUUAUAUACUCAUAAUCAUUGUUGUAUAUUUUGGUUCUGAAAUUUGUUUAGAACAGAAAAGUAGUGAAUAGGGGAUACUACCAUGUUGAUACACCAGCACAUGGUGCAUAAGUGAAGCCAAGAAUCAAUUCUUUAUCAAAGCAUACCCAACAUUAGGAAGUUUCAUCUGCCACAACAUGCAUGAUCAUGCUUUUCCUUCUAUUAUUACAGAUAUAGGGCUGCAUUGUAGGAUGAAUAUGAAAGACUGAUUUUUGAAAGGAACUCACAACAAACAGAGGGGGAUGAUGUGUCUAAUGACCAUCAGUUAGACAACUUCAUCUUCUUGGACGUAGUUGGGGGAGUCGACAAGAAAGGACGCAUUUAUGGUUUGGGCAUAUGAGGACUGCAAUAUCUAAAAUGUCAGCUGAAAACAUGGAACUCAAGGAGCGGUUGAAGACUAACGAGGAAUUGAUUCGUGCAUCACAGAGGGAGUCACGUUUAGCUCGAGAGCAGUCACAAGAGGAUUCGCGAUUGCUUCGAGAGCAAUUCCAGAAAUUCAUGGAGUCUUUUACACAAAGCCAUUCAUAUCUACCUCCUUAUGGACCUCAUCGUUCGAGUUAGGAUUAACAUCUGUGUCCACCUACUUGAUUAUUUAUCAUAUUAUUUUGAAAAUUUGAUUAUAACUUUUAGUUUAAAGUAAAUGUUCUAAUACUAUUUAGUUAUUAUUUUAAUAUAUUUUGAUGCAAAAGAUAAGUAGUGUGAUUCUUGUGAACGCAAUCAAAAAGGUUUUUCAUCAAAUAUUAAUGUGAUUUUUAUGGUAUUUUAUCAUAUUAAUGUAUUUUAUCUUGUGAUUUUUUAUCACCUUGUUUUAUAUUCCAAAAGUGUUUUGAGAAAUAAUUGAGAAAUUUUCUAAACUAAUUUUAAGGGAAAAAAAACUUAUUUGUGACGGAAAAUAUCAAAGUCACAAAAAUUUUGUCUUGCAGUGUAGCAUCGGAUAUCAAAGCGACGCUAUUUAAAUUCCCAGAUAAUUUGCGACGGUGGUGUUCUCUCAGUUAUUUGCCACGGUUUUUCCCCUCAGUAAUUUGUGACGGAUAUUUUAAACGUCGGUACUUUGUGACGGAAAACUGGGUUACACGUAUCCAUACUGCGAGAGGUUUAGCGACGGAUAUUUGGAGUUUGCGACUGAAUAUCGCAAUGAGUGACGGAGCUGAUAUUCCGUCGGUCAAUUUUUCCGACCCCCAUUAUUACGACGGAUUAUUGAAGCGUCGCAAAACCCGUCAGAAAGUCGUUUGCUACGGAAUUUUAAGUCUUUUGCGACGGAAAAAGGCCGUCGCUAAAUCCGAGUUUUCUAGUAGUGUUAGAAGACGACUCAUCGAUGAUCAGAUAAGGAUACGUAAUGAACAAGUUGCAAUAGAAAAUAGACAAACUGAAUGCCCAACAACAGAAACUUCAACAACAACAACAGGAAACUGACCCAUGGUAAGGUUUUGCAACACAUAAUUUUCACUUCUCUCUUGGAAAGAUAUUUUUCUAGGAGAUAAAAAUUGGUUAGGUAUUCACCUUGCAAAUUUAUUUAUUUUUUUAUUUUUUUAAAGUUGUAAAAUUAUUUCAAUAUCAUUUUAAUUAAUUAAUAAUUUUCAACCCAUUUAGCCUAACUUGGUGUUCGGGAGAUCUUGAAUUGUGCUCAUCUUUAGAUCUUAGAUUCAAUUAUCCUCGAUGUUAAUUUCAUUGAGCUAGUUUGACUUCUUAAAAAAAUUAAUUGAUAAUAAUUUCUAUAAUAUUUUAUAAAGUCCAAAUGAUUAAGUUUAACGUAACAAAUAUCUGAAUAUAGAAAUCAAAUUUUGUGAACGAACAUUCUAUAAUAUUCUAAACAUGUAUGUCUGCAAAAAAGUCUUUGGAGAGGGGUUUUUGAACGAGAGCAUGAGUAGCCGCCGCUACCAUUGUUUGAUUCUCAAACUCCUUUGUGUUUCACAAUUGAACAAUCCGUGAAUUAAAAAACAAUUCACUUGUGUAUUGUUUUGUUCUAUGUGCUUCCCAAUUGUAGUUUGUCCACCAAUUGGUUUAAUUGCUUUUCUACUUCUCUUCGUUUACGUGAAACCGUUUUAGAAUUGUUAAUUCAAUUCUCUUGGUUGGUUCACGUUCUUCAAUUUUCUAAGUUCGAUCUCAGCUGCCAUGUUUGACUGGCAGACUGAGAUGUCUGUUUCGGCAGCGACCCCAGAGGCUGCGAGGGUAGUCACACCUCCCCCACCAGUUGCUUCUCCAGUGAUUUCGUUUGCACAGGCUUUGACAGCUUCGACCAAGGCUGCUUCCAACGACAAUUUACCUCAACCUUUGAUUCGAGGUGAAAGAGUUAGCAUCAAGAUUACACAUAAUAUCUAUGAAAAAGGAAUGGCUUUUUGUAAGACAAAUUUGCGAGGUAGGCUCACUAGUACAAAAAACACUUUUUAAUUCAAACAUUUUAAAUGGGUUGCUAUCCACUUGAUUUAAAAAGAAGAAAAGUGGCAAGUUUUUUAAAAAGAAGAAAAAAAAUGGGUUGCUAUCCAGCGCUGGUUAUGAACAAAGGCGAUAAGCCUUAUGCGACCAAAGAAAUUCAGUCGAAACUCCAAAAACUUUGGAAGACAACAGGAGCAUGGAGUAUGACUUCUUUAGGAAGAGGGUACAAUGAAUUUUUCUUUGCAACAAAGAUGGAUAUGCGCACGGUCUGGGCUGCGGGCACGAUCAACUUGAAGCCGGGUGUUCUUCGACUGUUUGAGUGGUCUAAAGAUUUUAAUAUACAUACUCAGCGCAACACACAUGCUCAGGUGUGGAUUCGAUUGCUUGAAUUGCCUCAGGAGUAUUGGAUGGAGCAGACACUUCGAGAGAUUGCCAGUGCAAUUGGUACACCUCUUUUGAUUGACAAAGUGACGUCAAAACGCUUGUUCGGUCACUAUGCACGAAUUCUGGUUGAUAUGGAUUUCUCUCGCAAGCUCUUUCACGAAAUUGAGGUCGAGAGACAAGGGUACUCCUUUACACUAGAAGUUGCCUAUGAAUGGUUACCGGAUUUCUGUUCUCACUGUCAGAAUAUAGGUCAUGAUGUCACUGCUUGCAGAUGGCUUUAUCCUAGGAAGGAAACAAAGAAACAUAAGGAACAAACUGCGCAGGGGAAGAAGCAAGUCCCUGCAAAUAAGGAUACUUGGGUACCAAUAAAAGAUAAUCCAUCUGGCAUUGGUUCCUCAAAAGCUUUUGGCUCCUCAAAAGAAAAUGAUUCAGAACCGAUAAAUCUAGAUGAGGAAACGGAAGUAGUCCCACAACAAUCAAUGAAUUCAAAUGUUCCCUUUCAGAAAACACUUGAGGCGACACAUUUGGCGGAGGAAAUAGAAAUUGUCCCACAUCCGCAGCACCAAUCCACAAAUUCAGAUAUUCCAGCUCAAAUACCACUUGAGGCCGCAUCUUUGGAGGCUACCUUGGAGAUGGAUGCAACGUCCCAAUCCCAAGGGGGCGAUAUUAUUGACCACACAGAUGACAUCUCGGUUGUAACACCGACAAUUAUGGUAACUCCUAUUUCUCAUAGCCCUACUAUUACUAAUAAUACUUUUACCAUACAACUUGAGAAUGUAUCUGAUGAGAUAGCUAGAAAUGAUUUGGAGGAGAACCAAGAACAUAUUUUAUCCCCAGUCAAGGAAAAAACAUUGGAUGUCAGUAGUAUUAUGGCGCCGAAUGGUGCUCCUGUAGACCCAAUGUUGCAGAAAGAGUUAGAUUUUAUGCAAACUUGGCUAGCAAAGGCUGCUGUGAAUGAGGUGCCAUUUAAAGAGGUAGUUUCAAAGUCUCAGAAGAAAAAGAACGUGCAAAAGGCUUCAUACAAAACCCGCUCUCAGGGUCCUCUUCCUCCGUUUAAAUGAAUAAUUUUGUUUUGGAAGAUCCGGGGGAUUGGUAAUAAUGAUUCCCUGCUUGAUACUACGUGGUUCACUAUGUUGCCUUCUUCUUUGUUGGCGGAUUUUACUAGGGACAUAAAUGGGAUGCCUAUUUAUCGAUUUUGUUAGCUAUUUUGGUCCCUUGUUUUUUCUGUAUAUAUUUAUUUCUCUUUUGAGGGUUUUGGCCUAGUCCCCCCUUAUUGUAAAUUUUUUUCCUUUCUUUUUUUUUUUUUAAUAAUAUUACGUAUUGGAAAGGCGGUAGAGGAUGGGGGCUUCUGUUGCGGUGCCAACCUAGUUGGGAUGCUUCAGAUUCUCCCGGAUGCCCAACCUUUCUCUUGGCCUAUCAAAAAAAAAAAAAGUCUUUUAAAAAUGCUUUGAUUUAACAACUAAAAUUGUAAUUGCUUGCACAAUCAUUAUUUGUAGACCAAAAAGUGUGAUUAUUUUAUUGGGUGGAAAAAAAUACUAGUUAAUUUUAUAAAGAAGAAUAACAUAUUUAACUCUUAGAUUUUAAUCAAAGAUAAUUUAUCUUAAUAUAGGAUUAUUAACAUAAAAACUAUAUUAGAAAAAAAACAUUUUUCACCGGAUACCCAUAUAUUUACAAAUUUGUUUCUGGUAAAAAAAACAUUUUUCACCGGAUACCCAAUAUAUUUACAAGUUUAGUUGGGCGCAUUUUUUAAAUUAUUUGUAAACAUUUGGAUUCCACCAAUAUCCUCUUUGUAUAUAACUCUCAUCAAAUGAAGUCUUCGAUUUUCAUUUUUUGACUCAAUACUGUCGAGGGAGAUGUGAUAUUGUUGAGGGAGAUGUGAUAUUGAAAGCAAACUUGAUUAAACAAGGCAUCGAUUUAUGGUGUUUCCUCCAUAGAAACCUUCGAUUCUGUUGUAGUAUGACUCAAAAUUUGAUGGAUGGAGAAUAUUGUUGCUAAAAAUAUAAAAGAUUUGUUUCAAAUAUAUUUUGUGCUGAAAAUAUAUUUAUGGACAAUAAAUAUAUUUUUGUAUCGUAUGAAGAACGAUUUGAUGCAAAUAUAUUUUGAAAGGGAAUAUUAUAUUUUUGAUGCAAAUAUUCUUUCACUGAAGGAGAAAAAAAAACGUAUCUUCAGUGUAAUAUUUGUUCCAAAUUUAUGAGUUAUACUUUUACUAUAAAUAUAGACCUUGUAUCAGGCUAAAUUUGAGAGAGAGAGAGAUAGAGGGGGCUCAAACAAGGGUUUAGAAUGGCAACAACAAAACUAGGGUUUGUAUAGAGUUUGUCUCUUGGGAACAAACACUAGGGUUUGAGGGUUGAUUCACCUUGGGAAACACUAUUAGGAUUGAGUCUCUUGGUUACGAGAAGAGAUUGGGGCUUUGGGUAGAAUUAGGCGGGAGACUUAUUCUUGUAACCCAUUGAUUUCUCUUUUGUAACGUUACUCAUCAUAUAGUGGAACGGAGGGCUGCUCUCUCCCCAGACUAGGUCAAUUUGGACCGAACUGGGUCAAUAAAUUCUUUUGUGUUCUUGUCUUCUUUGUGUUCUUCUCGCCGUUGUUUUCUACUUUUGGCUUGUAUUUAAUUGUUCCAUACACUUUGUUUUGGUUGCUUGAUUAUCUCUUGCUCCACACAUCAAGUUGUUAUUGGUGUGAUAUUUUCAUCGAAUACGCAACAAUUGGCGCCCACCGUGGGGCAAGGGUCAAAGGAUAAUUAAGUACCUGAAGGAAAAAUCGAUUUGCAUUACAGAAUAAGCAGCGGAAAAAUUUCGAUUUUCUUUCCUUGGAUCAUUACGAAUUACACAUGAAUCAGUGAUUCGAUUGUUACCUCGAAGUGUGAAACUGAAACUGAAAGCUGGAAUCUGGAAACCGGAAUCACGAUCACAGCAAAGCAAGCAGCAAGCAGCAAAGCCUCUAGCAAGUCCACACGAACAGUGCUCCUCCAAAACUCGGUGCUAACCAAGGAAUCGGAAGUCUCAGAGAGCUAGGGUUUCUUCAAAGCGCGUAACCUCAAACCUCAGCACUAGGGUUCUAUUUAUAGAACUCCUUGUGUGCUAUGCAAGUCAGAAGCCACUAUUGGACUUCACUAAGACCAAUAACGAGUUUAGUAAUUUUGCUAACUAAUUAGCUUUAUUUACUAAAUACACCCCUUAUAUAAGUCGUACUUAUAUAUUUCUCUUUUGACUGUUCUUUGUGUGUGACCCUAUAGGUUCUGGUCACGUUGGCAAUAAUAUUAAAUCUGAUAUUUAAUAUUAUAAACAAUGAGCGGUAUCUAGCAACACAUCAUUGCUACCCAAGUGACAAGAAUGUCAAGUGAUCUGACGAAACCUUUCAUGAUAAUAUUCAUGUGUAUAAUUACUCCUUUGUCUCGAUACCUUUUAUUGAUCUCAAGACAUAGGUAUUGUCACCUUUGUAUAGAUCAAUUAUUAUAUUUCUUGAUUCCGAAAUAUACUGAAUAACGAAUAAGUCCAAUAUCUCAUAUUGACUUAGUUCGGCAUGGCCAUGCAAUUUUACAGUCAUAUUUCAUCAAGAGGCCUAAAGAUAUAUCUCUUGUUUAUGAGGAGGGACAAAUCCCAUCUAGGACAGUCAUGUCCCUUAGCAUGAUUCAUCAAGUACCCAUCAACCAACGUUAUGAUUAUCCUUUUACAGACAACGUUAGAAUGGCAACAAAGCACUUGAGUCCACAUCUAGGGAUCAUAGUGGUUUCAGGUGUAAGAGCGAUAUACAUUAUUAUCAUUGUGAGAAUAUCUUAUGACAAUUUCAUAACUUACUAUGUAGUAUUCUCACGGUGGGUCAAUCCAAUAUAAAUAUUACUCCUAAUAUUUAUAUCUAUGUAUAGACUUGAUAUCUCAUAUCUAUGACCCAUGAGAUGCGGUCAUCAGUCUACAUACAUAAUAGUCUCGACGCUUUAUUAUUAUCCUUUAUUCAUAUUAAAGCUUCGACUACGGAUAUAUUUAAGAAUAGCGUUCUUUAAGAUAAUGUAAUCUCAUGAUUAAGUCACACUUAAUAUAUUAUUACACGAACUAUCUAUUCUAAGGACUUUAUUAACAUUAUCUAAAUAUAAUAAAGAGUGCCAUAUAUUAUUCAAUAAUAAAAGUCAUGAUACAUAAGAUAGGUUUAACAUAAACUAUUGGCCUCUAGGGCUUACACCAACAGUAACAUGGGUUCAAAGUGGGAUAUUGAGAAGUUUACCGGAGAUAACAAUUUUGGGUUAUGGAAGGUAAAGAUGGAAGCCGUGUUAAUACAACAAAAGUGUGAGAAAGCUUUGAAGGGUGAAGGUUCGUUACCGGUCACCAUGUCACGAGCGGAGAAGACCGAGAUGGUGGACAAGGCCAGGAGUGCCAUUGUCUUGUGCCUCGGGUAUAAAGUUUCGAGAGAAGCAGCAAUGGAAACAACCGCAGCAUCGAUGUGGUCAAAGUUCGAAUAUUUGUAUAUUACAAAGUCUUUGGCUCAUUGGAAAGUCCUAAAGCAACAACUUUACUCAUUCAAGAUGGUAAAGUCAAAGGCUAUCAUGGAGCUACUUGUGGAGUUCAACAAAAUCAUUGGUGAUUUGGAGAACAUUAAGUGUGGUGUUGUUUGGAGGAUGAAGAAGGUGAUGUGUCUCACCUUGGGAUUGAUGCCUAGUGGAGCGGUGGUCGUCUGGAGAGACGUUAAACACUCAACAUCAGCCUGGAGAGGCGGUGGUAAGAAUACUCAUGAUCAGUCUAGAGAGGCGGAGGCAACAAUACUCAUGAUCUACCUGUUGAGGUGGAGUUUCAAGGUUGAAGACAUAGUGGGAAGUACGCAUUUGCUAGUUGAGGUAACAUUGUCUAAUGUUGAAGACAUAGUGGGAAGUACCCAUAGAUCUAGUAUGACCAUCAUGCUUCUGCUGGGCAAGAGCUUUAGUAAGUGGAUCAGCAACAUUGUCUAAUGUUGGUACUUUGCAUAUUUUAACAUCUCCUCUUUCGAUAAUCUCUCGAAUAAGAUGAUAACGCCUUUGUAUGUGUUUGGAUUUCUGGUGAGAUCUAGGUUCUUUGGCUUGUGCGAUUGCUCCAUUGUUAUCACAUAGUAAUUCAAUGGGAUCCACAAUACUUGGAACUAUUCCAAGAUCAGAAAUGAAUUUCUUAAUCCAAACAGCUUCCUUUGCGGCAUUGGAUGCAGCAAUAUACUCGACUUCGGUUGUAGAAUCAGCGACUGUUUCUUGCUUUGAACUUUUCCAGCUCACAGCACCGCCAUUUAAGCAAAACACAUAUCCAGAUUGCGAUUUAAAAUCAUCAUGAUCGGUCUGAAAACUAGCAUCAGUGUAACCAAUUACAGAGAGCUCUUCUUGACCUCCAUAGAUCAAGAAGGUAUCCUUAGUUCUUUUCAAGUACUUAAGGAUAUUCUUGACAGCAAUCCAAUGAUCGUUGCCAGGAUUAGACUGGUAUCUGCUCGUAGCACUUAAAGCAUACGAGACAUCUGGUCGAGUACAUAUCAUAGCAUACAUGAUAGAACCAAUUGCUGAAGCAUAUGGAAUAUCACGCAUUCGAUCCCUUUCUUCAUCAGUCGAAGGGGAUUGAGUCUUUGAUAGAUUUAUUCCUGACGACAUAGGGAUGAAUCCUUUCUUGGUAUGCUUUGAUGAUUUACGAUGAUUUGAAUGAUUUGAUCGAUGACGUGAUAAGUUAUGAGUUUUGGAAGAUUAGAUAAGGAUAUGAGAAUUAUUUUAUUGUUAAAUAAAAUAAAGAUUUAAAAAUAAUAUAAAAUAUUUAGUUAAGGGUUGUUUUGAUAUUUUAGAUAGUUUUGGGGGAGAAAGUGAGAUAAGAUAAGUAAUUAGGAAGAGAUAUAAAUAGAAGACCUAAUAUUUUAGAAACUCAUUGUACGUGAAAACUUUUGGAAAAGGGAGAAAAAGCAUAGAAGGGAGAAGAGCAUAGAGAGGGCUGCGAUUUCUUCAUAACCAGGUAAGGGUGAGACUAAUAACUCAGUAUUGUUAAUUGAAUGUGAUUCUGAUGAUUAGUUAACAAGAAUUAGGAUUGAAUUGGAGAAAACGAAAACUAGGUCAAAACCUUAGAAUUGAUGAUCAAACGGUGAGAAUUGGUUUAAUUGAUGUAGAAAGUGUUCCUAGACCUUAGAUAAUGUUUAGGACGAACUUUGGAAUCAAAAACAAGCUUAGAACCAUGUGAAUCGUCGAGUUUUUGUGAAUUUAGAAAGUCUGGCCGUAGCGACAUUCAUCGCUCGCCACGGCGAGCUAUGAUCCUCGCCUCGCGAGUGAUGAUCUUCAUCGCUCGCCUCGCGAGCCCUUUCCCUUCGCCUCGCGAGUGCUUUUGGUAUCGCUCGCCAUUGCGAGCAACCUUACUCGCCAUAGCGAGCUAAGGCAGAGAGCAUGUUAGAUUUUGUAUUUUCGACUUUUUAGUUGGACCUUGAAUGCCUUAGAAUGCCUGAACAUACCUAGUAAUGAUUAGGAAUGAAUGUAGGGCAAGAUUAGACCCAGAACAACUUUUGUUUGGGAAUUGUUUAGUACUCGCCAUGGCGAGCAAGAACUCUCGCCUCGCGAGCACCUCCAGCCUUGAGUGUUAUGAGUGUUUGUGCGAUCUGUGUCGCACGUUUUGAUCAAGAGCGAACCCCCUUAUGAUAAUAAGACCUAAUGAUGACGUUAAGUGCAGUCUGUAAAGCUGUUUAAGAUAUGUUGAUAUUGAUUGAGUAUGAUUAAUGUAUGGUACAUUUAUGUAAUUGAUGACGAUUGUCAUGUCCAUAAUGCUAUGUCACAUUGUCACAUAGUCUAAGAGUAUUGUCACAUUGUCAUGUCCAUAAUGCUAUGUUGUUGAUGACGAUUGAAUAUGUGGAUACGUGAUACUUGUUUAUUGAAUAUGUGAAUACGUGAUAUUUGUUUAUUGAAUAUGUGGAUACGUGAUACUUGUUUAUUGAAUAUGUGAAUACGUGAUAUUUGUUUAUUGAAUAUGUGAAUACGUGAUACUUGUUAUUUGAAUAUGCAAAGUUAUCCAAGAAUGAUUAUGAUGUUAAUGUUAAUUAUGAUUCGAAUUACUUUGAUUAACAUUAUUUUGUUAUGAAAUCUCACCCCUUUCUGCUUAAAAAUGUUGCCCUUCGUAUGGGUAACUUGCAGGUGAUCGUGCUUAGUGUGCAGUUGCUUCUGUGAGUGGCCUUGCCUCACUGUGUCGUCUAGGUCGCUCUGAUACGUAACGGGAUGGGGUUAUAUGUUAUACAUGCUUCAUUCUCUUACAUGACUAAUAUGUUAUUUUAAAUAUUGAUAUGGAUUAUGAUAUGAACUGUUUGAUGGGGCCUGCGUGCCAAAACGUUUUAUGACUAUGAUAUAAUUUCCGCUGCAAUGUUUAAGAUAUUGGUUGAAUUAUUAUUUAACUGUUUUGGAUUAUGUUUUAUGUGAUAUCCCGUUGUUUAUGAUGCUUACUCUGAUAAAUGUUUUUAAGAAUUUUCAUGUUGGGAAAACGGGGUGUUACACCAUGCCUUUGUCUACUGAAAUUCACAAAACUGUUUUUGAUCUUGGUGGUGACUCUGCUCCAGGGCCUGAUGGCUUCCCUGGACACUUUUAUCAAAAAUUCUGGCACAUUAUUGGUGAGGAUGUGAUCAAGUCAACACAGUAUGUCUUCAUGCACAAUUACAUCAUGCCUAAUCUGAAUUCUAACUUGAUAAUCUUGAUCCCUAAAAUCCAUGGUGCUGAUAGUUUGGACAAUUUCAGGCCUCUUGCUCUUGCUAACUUCCAAUUUAAAAUUAUCACUAAGAUCCUUGCUGAUGGGUUGGGAAUUAUUGCUUCCAAGAUCAUUUCUAUACAUCAAAGAGGUUUUAUCCCAGGAACACAUAUACAAGAUUGUAUCAUGAUUGCUUCUGAGGCAGUCAAUCUUUUACAUAGGAAAGCUUAUGGGGGUAACCUAGCCAUUAAAAUUGAUGUUAGAAAGGCUUUUGACACUUUGAAUUGGAAGUUUUUGAUACAUGUUCUGCACGGCUUUGGAUUUAAUCAGACUUUCUGUGAUUGGAUCAUGACUAUCCUUCAAUCAACAAAACUUUCUAUUUGUAUCAAUGGGAAAGUUGUGGGCUUCUUUAAUUGCACAAGGGGGGUGAGACAGGGUGACCCUCUCUCUCCUUUAUUGUUCUGUAUUGCUGAGGAAGUCCUUAAUAGAGGCAUUGAGGCUCUAGUGGUUGAUGGCAGGCUUACUCAGAUAAGUGCUACUAGAAAUCUCUUCAUUCCUAGCCAUUGCUUAUAUGCUGAUGAUAUUUUAAUAUUUUGCAAAGGCACAUUGGCUAAUGUUAGAAACCUAAUGCAUUUGUUUGACUGCUAUGGAAAGUAUUCAGGGCAAAUUGUGAAUGCCAACAAAAGCAAAUUCUACUCUAGCGCUCUUUCUUUGUCUAGAAAUCACACUAUCAGUGCUAUUACAGGAUUUAGUCAUGGGACUAUCCCUUUCACUUACUUAAGUAUUCCUCUAUUUAAGGGGAAACCUAUAUCUAUAUACUUCAGACCUAUUGUGGAUAAAAUCAUAUACAAACUCAAUGCAUGGAAAGGGAGAUUGCUUACUAUAAUGGGGAGAGUGCAGCUGGUGAAUGUUGUUAUCUGCAGCAUGCUCACAUACUCUUUUCACGUUUACAAGUGGCCCUCCAAUAUGCUUUCUGAAGUUUCUAAGGCUAUGAGGAAUUUCAUCUGGAGUGGGAGUUUUGAUCAGAGAAAACUCUGUACUGUCUCAUGGUCCACUAUCUGCAAGGCUAAAGAUGAAGGGGGGCUUUCUGUGAAGGAUCCUGUGAAGAUGAAUCAUGCUUCUCUUCUAUAUCUUACUUGGCAGCUCUUGACUUUAGAGGAGAAUUGGGCUCAUAUAUGUAGAACCAGAUUUCUGCAAAAUGGGCAUCCUAAGGCUCAUUAUAUUACAUCUUCAGUGUGGCCUGGUAUGAAAAAACAUGUUAAUUUGAUUCUUGAGUAAGCUAUUUGGUUUGUGGGAAAUGGGAGAAGCAUAAACUUUUGGACUGACAAUUGGUUAGAGAGACCCAUAUUGCAGAUCUUUGGGGUAUUCCUCAUUCUCUUCUUCACCCUAUCAACAUGAAGGUUUCUGAUUGCAUUAAGGAAAAUAAUUGGAAUAUUCCUGAUUAUAUUUGGAAUAGAGAUGCUGCUCUAGCUGUCAAGAUCCUCAAAAUCACCUUACCAGUUUGUGAUAUCUCCGAUAAGCUUAUUUGGAAGCAUGCCACUGAUGGGAAUCUCACUAACAAGCUGGCUUAUGAUUUUCUGAAUGGCUAUAGCCAGAAGGUGCCCUGGACUAAACUUUUGUGGAAUUCUUAUAUUCCUCCCUCUAGAGCCUUUAUCACAUGGAGGAUGCUUCACAACAAGCUUCCAACUGAUGAUAACCUCAGGAAAAGAGGAUGUUAUAUCGUUUCUAUUUGCUGCUUCUGCAUGAAACACAUUGAAUCUACUCAUCAUGUGCUUUUUGAAUGCCCUGUUACUUUUAAGCUUUGGGAUUGGCUUAGCAAAGGGACUGAUCAAAGCUUGGAUUUCACUUCUUGUUCUUCUCUUCUUUUAGGCAGGAUUGGUAUGGGUAGCAAACUUGUGCAGCAAGUUCUGAACUCUUCUAUCAUACACUUAAUAUGGGCUAUUUGGAUUGAAAGAAAUAAUAGAUAUUUCCAUGACAAGCAUCAAUCUAUGUCUUCCAUCUUUAAUUCUAUGCUUGCUGAAGUGAAACUUAGUUUUAGAUUAAGCUUGGUCCAUGGUGCUUCAGCUAUGCAGGAUCACAAGAUAGCUCAGCUAUUUAACAUUCCCCUCAAAAUUAAGAGAAUCAGACAGGUUCAAGAUAUUGUCUGGUGUCCUCCCUCAUAUGAUACUGUUAAGUUUAAUUGUGAUGGCUCAUCAGUUGGGGUUCAUCCUUGUGGGGGCAUUGGUAUUGUUAUUAGAGAUUCCAAUUUUGCAUUCUUGGGAGCUAUAUCUAGUAACAUUGGUCAUGCUUCAUCCAUUGAAGCUGAGUUCAGUGCCUGCAUGCUUGCUUUUGAGAAGGCUAUGGAGAUGGGUUUGAGCAGCAUCUGUUUGGAGUUUGAUUCUAUCAAAGUUGUCAAAGCUUUUAAUGAGGAUAUUGGUGUUCCUUGGCAGAUGCGUGCGCGGUGGUAUAAUUGCAUUAGGUUCUGUAAAAGUAUCUCUUGUUCUUGUGUGCACACUUUUAGAGAAGGGAACAUGGUGGCAGAUGCUUUGGCCAAACAUGGACAAGGUCUCUCUUUAUUUUCCACUCAGUGGUGGCCUUCACCACCCCCUUUCCUUCAUUCUCUUCUUUUAAGGAAUAGCUUAGGCAUGCCUUACUCUAGACUGGUUAUGACUUGAUUGCUCUCAUUCCUUAGUGGAUUGUGUGGUGCAGCUUGCUUUGUUCUUUUGCUGUUUUGUUUGUUGUGUGGUUGUUUGUAUUCGGUUCAGGCCUCUCCUGGCUUUAUAUUGAUUUUUAGCUUGAUAAAAAAAAAAAAAACUCUUAAUUUUAAUCAAGGAUAAUUUAACUUAAUUUAUGAUUAUUAAAAUAAAAACUAUAUUAGAAAAAACAUUUUUCUCCUGAUACCGAUAUAUAUUUACAAAUUUGUUUGAAAUUUGCAUAAUAGAUAUCCAUAAUGAUAUUUGAAAGAUGAAAUUUUAUCCAUAUUUCAAAAGAAAAUGAGACAUGCACCCUUUAUAACAGAGAUGAUAGAAAAAUAUAACAGUUAAGUUGGGCGCAUUUUUUUUAAUUAUUUUUAAACAUUAAUUUGGAUUCCACCAAAUUAAUGAAGUCUCAUCUUCUUUAAUGAAUAUCUAUCUUCUUUGUACAUAAACUCUCAUCAAAUGAAAUCUUCGAUCUUCAUUUUAUGACUCAAUAUUGUUGAAGGAGUAUCCGAGUAUGUGAUAUUGACAAGGCACAUGUACCUUUUUAAAAUUGGUAAUUUAAGGCCAACAUUUGGGAUUUUUUAAACCAAAUAUCACCAUUUUUGGGCCAAAAACAUGGUUGUCAAUAGUUCAACUUUGUAUCUUUGAUAAUAGAUUGGAAUAAGAUUCAGUUCCUCUUUUAUCUUCUUCUCUACAAAAUAACUUAUAAUUCAAUAGUUCAACAUUGUAUCGAUCAUUGUUGUCAAAAUCCCGACUUAAAUAAUUGUUCUUUAUUUAAAUAAUUGUCACCAUGCAAAUCACAAAGAAAGCUUUAUUUUUGGGUCUAAUUAAAGAGACAUCUUUCUAAAGCUUGAUGUAACCAUUAUUAAUCAUCCAUUCAAGACUCCAAUGUAGGUUUGCAUUCUUAAAAGCCCAGUAAGACCAACCAAAUGUUGCUUCACCAAAAACUUCUAUUUGUGCUUUGCCAAAUCUUUGGAAGUCCUCUUUUGUUGCAUCUUUCACUCGCCAAUCAGAAACCCAUUCACCUUUAAUUAAAAAUUUAUUCAUUUCAAAAUUGAUUGCAAUUAAAAUGAUGACUGAAAUCAAACUACAUUUUUAUGGACAAUUAUACUGAAAUUUUUUAAGACUUACCGACGAAAGUAAGAGGACCAUUCGAUGUUGUAAUAAAAUUCAACUCCGAUGAACGAUUGUUGUAAAUAAAAUCAAUGUUCUGUUGAGCAGACAUGUUUUCAAACGAAUCAUCAAAGAUGUUGUAGUAGUGAACAUCAAUUACAGACCUCAUAAGACCAUUGGCAAGAGGAAAGAGUUCCUUGGGUUCUGAGGGUCCUAGCCUAUUUGACAUAACCACAUAGGUAGUGGUGGAGUGUUUACGCACCGCGUCGUAACCAGCCUUGUAGUACUUGUUUAUGGUCUCUAGGGUUACACCUGGAGAGAGAGGUUCGUUUAAG